UGGGGAAUAUUGCACAAUGGGGGAAACCCUGAUGCAGCGACGCCGCUUGAGCGAAGAAGGUUUUCGAAUCGUAAAGCUCUGUCCUAUGGGAAGAUAAUGACGGUACCAUAGGAGGAAGCCCCGGCUAACUACGUGCCAGCAGCCGCGGUAAUACGUAGGGGGCACGCUAUGUCCGGAAUCUCUGGGCGUAAAGGGUUCGCAGGCGGAAAUGCAAGUCAGUUGUGAAAGGCAGAUGCUCAACCUCUGUAAGCAAUUGAAACUGUAUUUCUGGAGAUGUGGAGAUGCAAGUGGAAUUCCUGGUGUAGCGGUGAAAUGCGUAAAUAGUAGGAAGAAUACCGGUGGCGAAGGCGACUUGCUGGACACAAACUGACGCUGAGGAACGAAAGCGUGGGUAGCAAACAGG
Molecule: ribosomal RNA, 403 nt
Filed under: Fusobacteriota bacterium
Lineage: Bacteria; Fusobacteriati; Fusobacteriota
Description: Fusobacteria bacterium partial 16S ribosomal RNA
Rfam family: Bacterial small subunit ribosomal RNA
Source: RNAcentral